Molecule: long non-coding RNA, 3454 nt
Filed under: Piliocolobus tephrosceles (Ugandan red Colobus)
Lineage: Eukaryota; Metazoa; Chordata; Mammalia; Primates; Cercopithecidae
Description: lncRNA (ENSPTEG00000002693.1)
Source: RNAcentral
AAAAAAAAAAAAAAAAAUGUACAAACGAACGUAUGUACAUAUAUAUAUAUAUAUAUAUAUGUAUUAGUAUUUGCGUAUGUAUGUUGACAUUUUUAAUUAUACAUUUGUGUCUUGUUGCAUCCAAAUAAACUUUAAACAUUCGUGAUUAAUAAAAAUAAUUAUAUAUACAUUUACAGGAGUUUAAAAGAACAUAAACCUGUGAUAUAUGUAUAAUUAUAAUGAACGUACGUAUGUAUGUAUAUAUGCGCACAUGUAAUUCUGCUAGUUAUUAAGUAUGAUUAAUAUGUGUAUAUAUAUACUUAUAAUACGUAUACAUUUUUAUUAAUAUGUAUAUGUGAAAAAAAGUGGCGCAUACAUAUAUGCAUAUAUAUAUAUAUAUAUAUAUUUAUAUGAACAUUUUUAAUGCGAACAAAAAUUUGAUAAUCAAAAGGGUUACAACAUUUUAACUAUUUGGACAACACAUGUAUAAACAUAUAUACACAUGUAUACAUACAUGCAUACUUGUCUAUAUGAUCAUGUGCGUUUACAUAUAAAAAUAAAAUCAAAAAAGACAGUUAAAUACAAACCUAACGAAUAUGCACAACUACAACAAAAAUAGUAACUUAGGCGUAGAUGAUACGCAGAAUGUAGAUCCGAAUUUUCAAAUAAAAAAAAACAGAAUUGAUAAUAAUUAUAAUUUUAAAGAUAAUGCUGGUGGCAUGAAAUAUGGGUUUAAUGAUAAUUAUCGAAUGGGUUAUAAUAGAAUAAAAAAUGCGAAUGAAAAAGAUAUGUAUAAUUAUAAAAAUAAAAAUGUACAUACAACAAAUAUAGAACAGGAUACUUCCGGUAGUACCAAUGUAAUGAUGAAAACUAAUAUGUACGAUAAUAGUUACAAUCCUACGAAUAGUAAUAAUAACAAUAAUAAGAGUAAUACGACUGUUAAAAAAAAUAUGUAUUGUGAUAAGUCAAACGUUAGUAAUAGUAACAAUAACAAUAGCAGUAACAAGAAUAAUUAUGUAAGUGAAAAAGGAUACUUAAAGCCUAGAAAUAGCAUUUUAAAUGAACAAUAUAACAACAAAAAUUAUAUUGAUAAGAAAUAUUAUUAUGAUAUAAAUUUAGCAAAGGAUAGAACAAAAUUUCGUAGGUUAAGUAAUUUUAAAAAAGAAAAUAAUUUAAACACAAAUCGUACAUAUAGUGGAAAUAAUAAUGUUAAUAUGAAAAGUAACAUGAACAAUAUUAAUAGUGAAAAUGUGAUAGAAAAUAAUGAUAGUAGUAAUGAUAAGUAUGUGAUGAAUAAACACUUUGCUAAUGAGUAUAAAAACGUACAACAUAACGUAAAGGUUGUGAAUAAUACUGGAACCAACAAUAAUAAAAUAGGAAAUAUUAAUAAUGAACAAUAUGAACAAUAUGAACAAUAUGGGCAAUAUGAACAAUAUGGACAAUAUGGACAAUAUGGACAAUAUGAACACAAAGUGCCCGGUUAUACAAAAGGUGGUGAUACUAAUAUUAAUUAUAAUUAUGCUAAAUUAAACAGACAAAAAAAUCCAUAUGGAGUUGGAAGUGGCGGUUUAAACGUUGAUAUGCUUAGAGAAAGAGAAAAUAAAUUAGAAGAGCAGGUUGAAAAUAGUACAGAGGAAACAACAGUAUUAAAAAAAGAAAAUUCAGUAAUAAAUCAUAAUAGUGGUUAUAUACAAAGAGAAAGUGUAUAUCAUAGAAAUAUAAACGAAUUAAAUAUAAAUAGUGCAACCAACACAAACGAAAUGGUACAAACAAAAGACGUGUUAAAUAAAGAUAAUUACAUAAAAAAUAAAAAAAUAAACCAUAUACAACAAGGAUUAAAUAACAUGAGUAAUGUAUAUAACAGAAACAAAGAUUCGUUAGUACCAAAAAGUAUGGUACAUAUGAAAAAUGUGAAUUAUAAUAUGACAAAAGAGAAUAAUGAAAAUACAGACAUAUUACAAAAGAAUGUACAAAAUAAUAAUAAUGAUAUUAUUGAAGGAAACAAAAACAAUAAUCAUGUGUGUAGUAAAGAUAUGGAAAAUGUAAAUAAUUCUGUGUGGGGUAAUAAAUAUAAUGAGGAGAGUGACACGUUAGAGGAUAUCCGAUACCAUGAUAAAAAUAUCAAUAAUAACAAUUUUAAUAAUAUUUAUAACAUUGGUAAUAAUAAAAAUAUAUCUCCGUUAACAAAUUCUAAUUAUAAUGCAAAAAAUGAUAUAUAUAGUAAUACUAAUAUUACAGGUAAAAUGGAUAUGAAUAUUGGUAUUAAUAACAAAACUAUAAAUACAGAUAUAGCGAAUAAAAAAGAAUACUAUAAUUUUUCUUCAACAACUAUAGACUCUAAUUAUAGUAAUAAAAAUAGUUUUGAACAAAAGAAAAUGUAUAGAGACUCUAAUUUAAUGAAUAUACAUGAAAAUAAUGAACAGCAUAUGGUAGAAGAAGAAGCAAACAAAAAUAAAUUAAAAGGUUGUAAUGAAAACAUACAAGAAGGAACAGGUUACAUGCCAUUACAUAAUAACAUGGAAACUAUAGACAUAAACAAAAAAACUCUUAAUAAUAAUAAUGAUGUGAAUAAUGUAUCUUUAGAAUAUGCCAAAUAUACAGAGUACGAAAAUGAGAAUGUAAAAAAGUUUAAUAACAUGAACAUGAACAAUGACAAUGAUAAUGAAAGUAACAAUAAAGUUGGUUAUGACAAUGUAAUGUUAAAAGGAAAUGCGACUUAUAGCACGAUUGGAAAUGUGACUAAUAACACGAUUGGAAAUGAGACUAAUAGCACGGUUGGUACUGCUGCUACAGCAACGACUGUUACGAACGCUACAACUGCUAUUAGUGGAGGUUUUGAUGUUAUUGAUAAGAGUAGUAUUAUUAAUAAUAAUAAGAUGUUACAUAAAAAUAUAAAAAACACGAACAAAUAUAAUGCGCAGAUAAUGUAUGAAGAAAAUAAAAAAAUGAGAAGGUGUAGAAAUAAAACAGAAAUGAUACAUCUAAAUAGAAAAGUUCCUAAAUAUGAACACAUGAGUGAUGAAGAACGAGGUGAACAUUAUUUUAGUGAUUCUUAUGAUAAUAUAGAUGAUAUUGAUGGUGAUACAUUGCCACCAUAUAAUGAUAAAGUUGAUUAUAAUUAUAUGAGAAGGGGAAGAGAAAAUAGUUAUUAUAACAAUAAUAACAAUAAUCUCAAUAAUAAUAUUAAUAACAAUAAUAAUAUUAAUAAUAUUAAUAAUAUGAAUUAUAAAUAUAAUCAUAAGGAAAGAAAUUUAAAAAGACUGGGGCAUGAUCAUAUUAUGAAUUUUCACCAAAAAGAAAGUUUUCAUAAUUCUAAUUAUCCUUAUGUCAAAAGAAAUUAUACUCAUAAUGUUUAUAGUAAUGUUGAAAAUACCACAGACAAGAUGUAUGGAUAUGAUAAAUACAGAAACGAUAGUCGUAUGAGUGAGUAGUAUUUCAUCAUUAAAAAUUUUUAUAAAUUUGAAUAUAUACAAAU